Oryctolagus cuniculus (rabbit) is the source of this 136-nucleotide non-coding RNA. The record is from Rfam. Lineage: Eukaryota; Metazoa; Chordata; Mammalia; Lagomorpha; Leporidae.
UUCUCGGGCUGAUGCUGUUAAGUGAUGGAGUGGGUUGCCAACUGUAGUUGCUGCACUCAGCGCCUAAUGGCUCUGGGGAACAUACUCAGACAUGCCCAGAGAAGUCUGCCUGGGGUGAAACAAGUACCCUUGAGGU